Molecule: ribosomal RNA, 255 nt
Filed under: uncultured bacterium
Lineage: Bacteria
Description: partial 16S ribosomal RNA
Rfam family: Bacterial small subunit ribosomal RNA
Source: RNAcentral
GACAUAGGUGGCAAACGUUAUCCGGAUUUAUUGGGCGUAAAGGAUGCGUAGAUGGUAGAACAAGUUAUUGGUAGAAGUUGAGCUCAACUCAGCAGAAGCUGGUAAUACUAUUCUACUCGAGGACAGGAGAGGUUGGCGGAAUUCUAUGUGUAGGGGUGAAAUCCAUUGAUCUAUAGGAGACCACCAAAAAAAGGCGAAGGCAGCUAACUAUUCUGUUCCUGACAUUGAGGCAUGAAAGCGUGGGGAGCAAACCGG